This is an RNA transcript of Salvia miltiorrhiza (redroot sage), 1310 nucleotides long. RefSeq lists it as uncharacterized. The transcript has 2 exons. The record is from RefSeq and is a predicted model, not a curated record. Lineage: Eukaryota; Viridiplantae; Streptophyta; Magnoliopsida; Lamiales; Lamiaceae.
CAACGAUCAUUCUCCUCAUUUCCCUCUUUCCUUAAAUCCGUUUUUCCCUCUCAUUCCCCUUUCUCUUCCCCAAUCUCUCAUUCUUUUCUCUCUCUUAAAAUCUGUUUUCCCGACACGCGCGUCCACUCCGCCCCAGCUCCGCCACCGCCACCGCCACCGCCGUCGCCGUCGCCGAUUGAAACCCCCUGAUUUCCAAAACCCCUGCCCCUGGGAUGUCUGAUUGCAAGAGUCAAGGAAAUGGGGGGAGGAAGACCCACCUAACAAUCAAGAGCAACCCUUCCUUGGUUUUCAAUCGCUCCAUGACGGCGUACACGCCGUCGUCAGCGGCGGCGGUGGCGGGGGAGGAGAACAGCAUGCCGCUGCGCAACUCCCUGUCGUACCAGCGCAACGGCUCCAUCAACACCCUCCGCAGCGGCAAAGCAUUGAAGGGGAAGGUGAGGAAGAUGUGUUCCAUCUUCGAGUCCCCAAAGCACCGCCCCUCCAUCAGCAUCGAUCCGCAGCAGCAGUCGCCGUCGUCGUCCCCGUCCCCGUCCCCGUCCCCCUCCCCAACCUCCAACAAGUCCUCCUUCUCGCCGCCGGACUCCCCUAACCUCUGGGAUUUCUCCCCCGUGCGGCUGCCGGGGACCGAGGACAGGGUGGUGAUCUACUUCACCAGCCUGCGGGGAAUCCGGCGGACGUUCCACGACUGCCAGAGCGUGCGGAUGCUGUUCAGAGGCUUCCGGGUGAACCUGGACGAGCGGGACGUGUCGAUGGACGUGGCCUACAAGAACGAAUUGCAGGAGCUGUUUGGGGAGGAAGAGAGCGUCAGCUUGCCGCAGGUGUUCAUCAAGGGGAAGCACAUUGGGGGAGCCGAGGUUGUGUUGAAUCUGCUCGAGGUUGGGGAGCUCGUCAGGAUGAUCAAGGGACUCCCUUUCCGAUCCCUCAAGCCCUGCGAUGUCUGCGAUGAUAUGAGGUUCAUCGCCUGCGUCAACUGCGGCGGCAGCCGCAAAGUCUAUGAUGAGGAGGAGGAGCACACCAACCGCUGCCCCGUCUGCAACGAAAACGGCCUCAUGCGUUGCCCUCUCUGCAGCUCCUGAACAUCUUCAUCACUUUCUAUUACUCCAACAUAUCCAUAUGUAGUAAUAGACUUGAUUGGUCAACUGUGUUCCUAUAAUUUUCCAUUAAUAUACAGCAAUUACAAGCUGACAUGACGCCUACUUGGACUGAAAAUUGACACAUGGAAAAUAAUAAACAAAAAAAAAAAAAUCAUCCCUUUCCCUCUCCCACCUCCAAGUUCGAUGGAACAUCGCCGUCGCCGCCGGAAUCGUGAC